Molecule: long non-coding RNA, 741 nt
Filed under: Phascolarctos cinereus (koala)
Lineage: Eukaryota; Metazoa; Chordata; Mammalia; Diprotodontia; Phascolarctidae
Description: lncRNA (ENSPCIG00000037245.1)
Source: RNAcentral
AUGACUUUGGAGGGCCAUGACCUUCAAGAGAAAGAUCUCCGAUCCUUGGAACUUACUAUGAGCAAAGGAAUGGGUUCUUCAGUGCCAAUAUCCAUGAGCCCUUUCUCCAAUUCUAGGAAAAGGUGCAUCUGCUCUUGGCUUCCUUUGACCUCUCCCUCUAUAAGGAUCAUGGGACUCCCACCUAGAUGGUCUGUUGGGAAUUCUAUCUUUGUGAAUUUGGGAGGUAUAAGUAGGACCUUUUUUCAUCAUAACUUUUUUUUUCCUGUUUCAGGGCUGCCAUCUUGAGACUCUACCCUUUACCAAAAAGGGAGAAUUGAAGAGGAAGUGACUUCUGGACUCCUAAGAGCCUUAUCUCAGGUGAAUUGAGAUUUCCUUUCUUUCUUGAAGUAUAGUCUGAUUUUUCAAUCCAUGUUUCUUUCCUUUUUCCGUCUUCUUUUGUGUUUAGCCAAGGCCCUGAACAUCAGUUGUCCUCCCUCCAAAGACUGUUUCUCUUCUCACAAAUAAUAGUAGGAUUCUUAGAGUUCAAAGAUCGUUAGAGCUUAGCCUAGCUGUCUAUGCUAUGCUCAUAAGUGGCUGGACGUGGGCUAGAAUUAGACUAGAACUCAAGCUCCUGACAUGUAAAUCAUUUUUCUUUUUUUUUAUAUCAUGGUGCUCUCUAGGAAAUUUUCCUACAGUCUGUUCUCUCUUCCUGUUGAACGUUUAUUCAUACAUUUGAUUCAACCCACUGUAUAUUCAGUAUUG